CCUACGGGUGGCAGCAGUGAGGAAUAUUGGUCAAUGGGCGAGAGCCUGAACCAGCCAAGUCGCGUGAGGGACGGCGGUCCUAUGGAUUGUAAACCUCUUUUGUCGGGGAACAAAGGCGCCCACGGGUGGGCGGAUGAGUGUACCCGAAGAAAAAGCAUCGGCUAACUCCGUGCCAGCAGCCGCGGUAAUACGGAGGAUGCAAGCGUUAUCCGGAUUUAUUGGGUUUAAAGGGUGCGUAGGCGGACAGUCAAGUCAGCGGUAAAAAUGCGGUGCUCAACGCCGUACGGCAGUUGAAACUGGCAGUCUUGAGUGGGCGAGAAGUAUGCGGAAUGCGUGGUGUAGCAGUGAAAUGCAUAGAUAUCGCGCAGAACUCCGAUUGCGAAGGCAGCAUCCCGGCGACCUACUGACGCUGAGGCACGAAGGCGAGGGUAUCGAACAGGAUUAGAUACCCCUGUAGUC
This 459-nucleotide ribosomal RNA is filed under the name uncultured bacterium. RNAcentral's name for it is "partial 16S ribosomal RNA". It matches the Rfam family "Bacterial small subunit ribosomal RNA", at positions 338 to 795 of the family's 1533-position model. The record is from RNAcentral.